This 419-nucleotide ribosomal RNA is filed under the name uncultured Glomeromycotina. Its description in RNAcentral is "SSU rRNA". It matches the Rfam family "Eukaryotic small subunit ribosomal RNA", at positions 669 to 1090 of the family's 1831-position model. Lineage: Eukaryota; Fungi; Glomeromycota. The record is from RNAcentral.
UUCGGUAUGUACUGGCUUUACUGAUUCCUCCUUCUUGACGAACCGUGAUGUCAUUAAUUUGGUGUUGCGGGAAAUCAGGACUGUUACUUUGAAAAAAUUAAGUGUUUAAAGCAGGCUAACGCUUGAAUACAUUAGCAUGGAAUAAUGAAAUAGGACGUUAAUCCUAUUUUGUUGGUUUCUAGGAUCGACGUAAUGAUUAAUAGGGAUAGUUGGGGGCAUUAGUAUUCAAUUGUCAGAGGUGAAAUUCUUGGAUUUAUUGAAGACUAACUACUGCGAAAGCAUUUGCCAAGGAUGUUUUCAUUAAUCAAGAACGAAAGUUAGGGGAUCGAAGACAAUCAGAUACCGUCGUAGUCUUAACCAUAAACUAUGCCGACAAGGGAUCGGAUGAUGUUAUUUUUAAUGACCCCCCUCGCCCCCCU